Molecule: non-coding RNA, 88 nt
Filed under: Marinobacter sp.
Lineage: Bacteria; Pseudomonadati; Pseudomonadota; Gammaproteobacteria; Pseudomonadales; Marinobacteraceae
Also listed under: 1 other name
Description: c-di-GMP sequence
Rfam family: c-di-GMP-I riboswitch aptamer
About the family: GEMM was predicted in a large-scale screen for bacterial structured RNA regulatory elements.
Source: RNAcentral
GGGUUGAAAAGGCAAAUCUGCCUAAAGGCAGAGACGCAAAGUCACCGGUCUAACGGGGUACACCCUCCAAGACAGCGGGACCGUCAAC